Molecule: long non-coding RNA, 181 nt
Organism: Etheostoma spectabile (orangethroat darter)
Lineage: Eukaryota; Metazoa; Chordata; Actinopteri; Perciformes; Percidae
Exons: 2
Source: RefSeq, a predicted model, not a curated record
GAACACUGCAGGCCAGCAGUCAGCAUCUUGUGUGGAUUCCAGGCUACUGAAUUUGCUCUUGUCAUAGACACAGAAAAACACACGCCAUUAGCUAUGAAAUGUUUAUAUCUUUUAUAUGACCACAUCUGGACAACUGUGUAGCUCUACUUAGGUGCAGGUAAAAUGUUGCCAUACUCAUUAU